GACGAACGCUGGCGGCAUGCCUAAUACAUGCAAGUCGAGCGAACAGAUGAAGUGCUUGCACUUCUGACGUUAGCGGCGAACGGGUGAGUAACACGUAAGGAAUCUACCUAUAAGCGGGGGAUAACAUUCGGAAACGGGUGCUAAUACCGCAUAAUAUCUUCUUCCGCAUGGAAGAAGAUUGAAAGACGGCUCUGCUGUCACUUAUAGAUGACCUUGCGGUGCAUUAGUUAGUUGGUGGGGUAAUGGCCUAACAAGACGAUGAUGCAUAGCCGACCUGAGAGGGUGAUCGGCCACAUUGGGACUGAGACACGGCCCAAACUCCUACGGGAGGCAGCAGUAGGGAAUCUUCCGCAAUGGGCGAAAGCCUGACGGAGCAAUGCCGCGUGAGUGAAGAAGGCCUUCGGGUCGUAAAACUCUGUUAUAAGAGAAGAACAAAUUGUAGAGUAACUGCUACAGUCUUGACGGUAUCUUAUCAGAAAGCCACGGCUAACUACGUGCCAGCAGCCGCGGUAA
This 513-nucleotide ribosomal RNA is filed under the name uncultured bacterium. RNAcentral describes it as "partial 16S ribosomal RNA". It matches the Rfam family "Bacterial small subunit ribosomal RNA", at positions 28 to 523 of the family's 1533-position model. The record is from RNAcentral.